GCUGAUUCGCCUGCUUGACGCGUGGAUGCCUUGAUUUGGUCUGACAAGUGGAGGCUACUGUGAGAAGCGGCCUGGAUUUUUGACAUUCAGUGAACAGAAGCUAAGUGGACACAGCUGCUUAAAAUUUGCUGGAACUUCAAUGUUUUCUUGGAGAAUGAUUCAGACGAACAGGAAAAAUAACGAACAGUAAAC
This 192-nucleotide long non-coding RNA is filed under the name Mustela putorius furo (domestic ferret). Its description in RNAcentral is "lncRNA (ENSMPUG00000030740.1)". The record is from RNAcentral. Lineage: Eukaryota; Metazoa; Chordata; Mammalia; Carnivora; Mustelidae.